CAAACCUCAAGCUCACGCUUGGUCUUGGGCGCCGUCCGUCAGGACGCGCCAGAAACCCGUAGGCAGUGGUGCCCGCCUCCCAGCGUAGUCAAGUUACCGCUUCGGAGCGCGCGGCGCCGCCCGCCGGACGAACAACCACUUCUCCUAUG
RNAcentral lists this unclassified non-coding RNA (149 nucleotides) under uncultured Ascomycota. Its description in RNAcentral is "sequence contains ITS2". The record is from RNAcentral. Lineage: Eukaryota; Fungi; Ascomycota.